GCAAAUUUUCCCAAUUUCCUCUACUGGCUGAAUGACACCAAUUUCAUUAUUAACCGCCAUAACCGAAACAAGGCCAGUGUCAGGUCUAAUAGCAGAACGAAGCUUGUCCAAAUCAACAAUUCCAUCGGACCCAACCGGCAAAUAGGUAAUAUCAAAACCCUCCUGCUGCAAAUGUCUACACGAAUCAAGAACACAUUUGUGCUCGGUCUGAGUGGUAAUCAAGUGCCUUUUCUUCUCUCUGUAAAAGUGCAUAACCCCCUUAAUGGAAAUGUUAUUGGACUCGGUAGCUCCAGACGUAAAAACAAUCUCCUUA
RNAcentral lists this unclassified non-coding RNA (313 nucleotides) under Hevea brasiliensis (rubber tree). The record is from RNAcentral. Lineage: Eukaryota; Viridiplantae; Streptophyta; Magnoliopsida; Malpighiales; Euphorbiaceae.